UGGGGAAUAUUGCACAAUGGGGGAAACCCUGAUGCAGCGACGCCGCGUGAACGAAGAAGGUAUUCGUAUCGUAAAGUUCUGUCCUAUGGGAAGAUAAUGACAGUACCAUAGAAGAAAGCUCCGGCUAAAUACGUGCCAGCAGCCGCGGUAAUACGUAUGGAGCGAGCGUUGUCCGGAAUUAUUGGGCGUAAAGGGUACGCAGGCGGUUUAAUAAGUCGAAUGUUAAAGAUCGGGGCUCAACCCCGCAAAGCAUUGGAAACUGAUAAACUUGAGUAGUGGAGAGGAAAGUGGAAUUCCUAGUGUAGUCGUGAAAUACGUAGAUAUUAGGAGGAAUACCAGUAGCGAAGGCGACUUUCUGGACACAAACUGACGCUGAGGUACGAAAGCGUGGGGAGCAAACAGG
This 403-nucleotide ribosomal RNA is filed under the name bacterium. RNAcentral's name for it is "partial 16S ribosomal RNA". It matches the Rfam family "Bacterial small subunit ribosomal RNA", at positions 355 to 776 of the family's 1533-position model. The record is from RNAcentral.